RNAcentral lists this ribosomal RNA (409 nucleotides) under bacterium. RNAcentral describes it as "partial 16S ribosomal RNA". It matches the Rfam family "Bacterial small subunit ribosomal RNA", at positions 355 to 776 of the family's 1533-position model. The record is from RNAcentral.
UGGGGAAUAUUGCACAAUGGGCGAAAGCCUGAUGCAGCGACGCCGCGUGAGGGAUGACGGCCUUCGGGUUGUAAACCUCUUUCAGUAGGGACGAAGCGCAAGCGACGGUACCUGCAGAAGAAGCACCGGCUAACUACGUGCCAGCAGCCGCGGUAAUACGUAGGGUGCGAGCGUUGUCCGGAAUUACUGGGCGUAAAGAGCUCGUAGGCGGUUAGUCACGUCGUCUGUGAAAUCCUAGGGCUUAACCCUGGACGUGCAGGCGAUACGGGCUGACUUGAGUACUACAGGGGAGACUGGAAUUUCUGGUGUAGCGGUGGAAUGCACAGAUAUCAGGAAGAACACCGAUGGCGAAGGCAGGUCUCUGGGUAGUAACUGACGCUAAGGAGCGAAAGCAUGGGUAGCGAACAGG